This is a long non-coding RNA of Pieris brassicae (large cabbage white), 1035 nucleotides long. RefSeq lists it as uncharacterized. The transcript is spliced from 3 exons. The record is from RefSeq and is a predicted model, not a curated record. Lineage: Eukaryota; Metazoa; Arthropoda; Insecta; Lepidoptera; Pieridae.
UGGACAAUGGGAAAAUGUCAACAUUCACCCUUAUUUAUUUUGUUUGCGAUUAUAGUUAUGUAAAAUAUCAAUAUCUAAAACACUGGUGCAGUACAACACGGCAAAUAUGACACGGACAGAAUAAUAAAUGUUAUCUGGUUUCUUCUGUUCACAAAGCGUAUCGCAAUUUUAUGAUUUACCACAAUUAUUGUCAUAACUAUUUACAAAUGUGAACCAUACUAUUAUGAAACACUAACUCUAAUGCCAAAUUUUAAUAAAUAUACGAACGUAAGGAACGUAAAAAUUAACGAGGCACCCAAGGUACCUGUGAGCAAAAUCACCUGUGAUGAUACCGGCAAACAUCUUGAACAAAUGUCCUUGCCUGCGCGAAGAGAUUUUUAUGUUUCACAUCCCCUAUGUGAGAGGGGGCGGCCGGCGGUGGUGCGCGGCGCCGGGAGAGUGAUGUGUCGUCUGUCGAUCGCGCGGUUGACGUUUGUGUCCCGCGCUGUUUACGAUGCGCAAAAUUUCCCCCACUCCCUCGUUUAAUGCUAAAGAAGUUUGUUGGUAUCUGUAAAAUACUUAACAAACUUUAAAUUUUUUAUUAGAUUUUUCAUAUUCAUUACUUUAUUAUUAUGUAGUUUAAUUUAUGACUCAUGUUCACGUAUACUAUCUUUAAUUAAGUAAUCAAGCUGCCUCUUUUGCAGCAUUCAUUCAUAAAUUAAAGGUUCGGUUCAUCCUUACUUCCUUUAUUUCUUUCCUAGUUUUGAUAUUACAGGGUGUAAUCUAGGCUAUCCUUUCAUAUCAUUUGGGUUUUUGGGUUCUGCUGUAUUGAUAAUUGUAUUAGGUAAAUUCAAAAAGGGAUUACCAUUACAUUUUAUAUUGAAUGUGAACUUUGAGUAUUGAUGGCUUAAAUAUAGUAAAAUACUAUUAUUUUCUGAUUGUUUUGUGUCUAAAUCUGAAAUAAAAAUAAAGAUAUAUAGUUGGUAUUGUAUAGCUUACAUACUGUGACUCUGUCCAAUUUAUGAAUCACAUAAGAAAUAAAUAAAAGUAACAAUG